Carassius gibelio (silver crucian carp) is the source of this 1286-nucleotide long non-coding RNA. RefSeq lists it as uncharacterized. The transcript is spliced from 6 exons. NCBI's taxonomy places the organism in Eukaryota, Metazoa, Chordata, Actinopteri, Cypriniformes, Cyprinidae. The record is from RefSeq and is a predicted model, not a curated record.
UCAUUUCAAUGAGGUUUAAACAUGCGCGGUAAGACAAAUGUAAUGUCUUGGACAUUUCAGUGUGGAUGAAGACUGGAAAUAAUGCCUUUGUUCGUGGUUAAAUGUGGCAUCAUCCGACGGAACUACGUUUGUAUCUGUAGUCCAAAUCUAUGCGCACUCCACACUCCAGAUCAGCAGGUGGCGGUAAUGCAUCUUUACGCUGGUUUGCCAAAACCGCCACAAAACACUAGUAGAAGAAGACGGAACUGCGUCAUGACAUCAUUUAACAAACUUAAGCCGCAAACCUGCUUUUAGAUGCAACACUUUGGAUGUCAACUGCCGUAAAACCCAAUGAAGAAGAAGAACCUGCUUUUAGCGUUUUCGCCUGAAAAUGUGUAGGUCUGCGCCACUAGAGGAAGCGACCUCAAACUGCCACUCGGCCGGAACGACGGGGUGAAAGGCUGAUCGGUGGCGGGAAGUGAGAGGCUUGCUGCGGCCCAGGCUGGUUGGAUUCCAGCUGGAGGAGAGCUCGGUCUCGGGCGGCAUGAUCAUUGUGUCGAGCGAGGCAAGCUCGGAGCUUGUGGCUUGACGAGGAUAGCAGCUUAAUGCUGCUCAUCGGCCUUGUUUGACUGGGAAGGAAAGAUCGCGGGUCCGGCAAAAGCAGCAGGUCUUAUAAAUCCCCGGUGAAGCUCUCUUCGUUGGUACGAAAAUUGGGUCCGUGAAUAUUCCAACCCAGAGAGAGGGACUGGAUUGUGGUCUGUUCAUGCUGAUGUAUGCACUAUAUAUAGCCCUGGACUGGACAUUUGACUUUAGCCAGGAUGACAUCCCUCAGCUCCGAAGGUGAUGGGGUCGUUUGCUCUAGCAAAACAUGUCACAGCCAAGGUUGUCAAAGUCCACCAUCACCAAAAAGCCAGCUAGCACGGAAACUGUGAUGGGUCAAGAUGACAGUGAUGAGUUUCAACAGAAGAUCGCAGAGGAACUGAAGAGGAAGUUCAUAAGGGACAUUGGUGUAGCAUGGUGCUGGUUUCAGGGCCACUGUGAGCUGUUCCAUGGAGAGGUGACAGAGCCUGAAUUUCUCCAGAUGGACGAAGAAAAACAGUCUAAUAUAAAUCAAAGACUACCUGAAAGGAGAGACUGAGAAAGCAAGGGAUGCCUGUUUGUUUGUCUUUGACAAUCGCGAGGAUGGAAACAUUCUUAUUAAAAUUUGUUGAUGAACAGUGGCUGAAAGUCAAUGCCAUGUUUCUGGGAGUAGUUUAAUUUAUAAUAAUAUAUUUACUCUACAUUGUUGAAUAUUAUUGUUUUGUGAA